CUCCAGUUGCUAACUUCAUAAUGGAGUCACAAAGACUGGAAUUAAUCAGACUAAUGGAGACCCAAGAGGAAGAUGUGGUCCUACUAACUGCUGGAGAGCACAAUAAAGCAAAAAAGUUUCAGAGUUCAGCUUCAAAGCUAAAUGUAAUCCCCCAUCUCCCCUUCCCCUACAAUAGUAAAAUGAAGAAAGCUAUUUAUUUCCAAAUUUUAUUAUGAAUGCAUUUCUUAAAAAAGAACAUGGGAUUUUGUUCCAAACUAAUUUGGCUAUUAAACCUUCUCUUGGUAUGAACUAAA
Molecule: small RNA, 293 nt
Filed under: Pan troglodytes (chimpanzee)
Lineage: Eukaryota; Metazoa; Chordata; Mammalia; Primates; Hominidae
Description: processed transcript
Source: RNAcentral